RNAcentral lists this ribosomal RNA (497 nucleotides) under uncultured bacterium. RNAcentral's name for it is "partial 16S ribosomal RNA". It matches the Rfam family "Bacterial small subunit ribosomal RNA", at positions 28 to 507 of the family's 1533-position model. The record is from RNAcentral.
GAUGAACGCUGGCGGCGUGCCUAAUACAUGCAAGUCGAGCGAACAGAUGAGGAGCUUGCUCCUCUGACGUUAGCGGCGGACGGGUGAGUAACACGUGGAUAACCUACCUAUAAGACUGGGAUAACUUCGGGAAACCGGAGCUAAUACCGGAUAAUAUAUUGAACCGCAUGGUUCAAUAGUGAAAGACGGUUUUGCUGUCACUUAUAGAUGUAUCCGCGCCGCAUUAGCUAGUUGGUAAGGUAACGGCUUACCAAGGCAACGAUGCGUAGCCGACCUGAGAGGGGGAUCGGCCACACUGGAACUGAGACACGGUCCAGACUCCUACGGGAGGCAGCAGUAGGGAAUCUUCCGCAAUGGGCGAAAGCCUGACGGAGCAACGCCGCGUGAGUGAUGAAGGUCUUCGGAUCGUAAAACUCUGUUAUUAGGGAAGAAAAAAUGUGUAAGUAACUAUGCACGUCUUGACGGUACCUAAUCAGAAAGCCACGGCUAACUACGUG